This 253-nucleotide ribosomal RNA is filed under the name uncultured bacterium. RNAcentral describes it as "partial 16S ribosomal RNA". It matches the Rfam family "Bacterial small subunit ribosomal RNA", at positions 524 to 776 of the family's 1533-position model. The record is from RNAcentral.
UACGUAGGGGGCAAGCGUUGUCCGGAAUCAUUGGGCGUAAAGCGCGUGUAGGCGGCCCGGUAAGUCCGCUGUGAAAGUCGGGGGCUCAACCCUCGAAUGCCGGUGGAUACUGUCGGGCUAGAGUGCGGGAGAGGCGAGUGGAAUUCCUGGUGUAGCGGUGAAAUGCGCAGAUAUCAGGAGGAACACCAAUUGCGAAGGCAGCUCGCUGGAGCGUAACUGACGCUGAGACGCGAAAGCGUGGGGAGCAAACAGG